AGAGUUUGAUCCUGGCUCAGAUUGAACGCUGGCGGCAUGCUUUACACAUGCAAGUCGAACGGCAGCACGGGGGCAACCCUGGUGGCGAGUGGCGAACGGGUGAGUAAUACAUCGGAACGUAUCCUUGAGUGGGGGAUAACGCAGCGAAAGUUGUGCUAAUACCGCAUGAGCUCUGAGGAGGAAAGUGGGGGACCGUAAGGCCUCACGCUGAAGGGGCGGCCGAUGUCCGAUUAGCUAGUUGGUGAGGUAAAGGCUCACCAAGGCUUCGAUCGGUAGCUGGUCUGAGAGGAUGAUCAGCCACACUGGGACUGAGACACGGCCCAAACUCCUACGGGAGGCAGCAGUGGGGAAUUUUGGACAAUGGGGGCAACCCUGAUCCAGCCAUGCCGCGUGAGUGAAGAAGGCCUUCGGGUUGUAAAGCUCUUUCGUGAGGGAAGAAACGGCCAUAGUGAAUAGCUGUGGUUACUGACGGUACCUCAAGAAGAAGCACCGGCUAACUACGUGCCAGCCGCCGCGGU
Molecule: ribosomal RNA, 518 nt
Filed under: uncultured bacterium
Lineage: Bacteria
Description: bacterial SSU rRNA
Rfam family: Bacterial small subunit ribosomal RNA
Source: RNAcentral